Molecule: transfer RNA, 65 nt
Filed under: Agrypnus sp. YD-2019
Lineage: Eukaryota; Metazoa; Arthropoda; Insecta; Coleoptera; Elateridae
Description: tRNA-Tyr
Rfam family: tRNA
About the family: Transfer RNA (tRNA) molecules are approximately 80 nucleotides in length. Their secondary structure includes four short double-helical elements and three loops (D, anti-codon, and T loops). Further hydrogen bonds mediate the characteristic L-shaped molecular structure. tRNAs have two regions of fundamental functional importance: the anti-codon, which is responsible for specific mRNA codon recognition, and the 3' end, to which the tRNAs corresponding amino acid is attached (by aminoacyl-tRNA synthetases). tRNAs cope with the degeneracy of the genetic code in two manners: having more than one tRNA (with a specific anti-codon) for a particular amino acid; and 'wobble' base-pairing, i.e. permitting non-standard base-pairing at the 3rd anti-codon position.
Source: RNAcentral
AGUGAGGUGGCUGAGGGUUAAGCGAUAAAUUGUAAAUUUAUUUACGGAUUUAGAUCCCCUUACUA